UAGGGAAUCUUCCACAAUGGACGAAAGUCUGAUGGAGCAACGCCGCGUGAGUGAAGAAGGGUUUCGGCUCGUAAAACUCUGUUGUUAAAGAAGAACAUAUCUGAGAGUAACUGUUCAGGUAUUGACGGUAUUUAACCAGAAAGCCACGGCUAACUACGUGCCAGCAGCCGCGGUAAUACGUAGGUGGCAGGCGUUGUCCGGAUUUAUUGGGCGUAAAGCGAGCGCAGGCGGUUUUUUAAGUCUGAUGUGAAAGCCUUCGGCUCAACCGAAGAAGUGCAUCGGAAACUGGGAAACUUGAGUGCAGAAGAGGACAGUGGAACUCCAUGUGUAGCGGUGAAAUGCGUAGAUAUAUGGAAGAACACCAGUGGCGAAGGCGGCUGUCUGGUCUGUAACUGACGCUGAGGCUCGAAAGUAUGGGUAGCAAACAGG
This 429-nucleotide ribosomal RNA is filed under the name Acidobacteriota bacterium. RNAcentral describes it as "Acidobacteria bacterium partial 16S ribosomal RNA". It matches the Rfam family "Bacterial small subunit ribosomal RNA", at positions 355 to 776 of the family's 1533-position model. Lineage: Bacteria; Pseudomonadati; Acidobacteriota. The record is from RNAcentral.